GACGAACGCUGGCGGCGUGCCUCAAACAUGCAAGUCGAGCGAGGUGAAACCGAACCGCAAGGUGAGGUUGAACCUAGCGGCGAACGGGUGAGUAACACGUGGGUAACCUGCCUGGAAGAUCGGGAUAACGGCUCGAAAGAGUCGCUAAUACCGGAUAAUGUCCUGGUGCUGCAUGGCACCGGGAAGAAAGGGGGAAACCCGCUUUCAGAUGGGCCCGCGCCCCAUCAGCUAGUUGGUAAGGUAACGGCUUACCAAGGCGACGACGGGUAGCCGGUCUGAGAGGACGAUCGGCCACACUGGGACUGAGAUACGGCCCAGACUCCUACGGGAGGCAGCAGUUGGGAAUCUUAGGCAAUGGGCGAAAGCCUGACCUAGCGACGCCGCGUGAGGGAAGAAGGCCUUCGGGUCGUAAACCUCUGUCAUGGGGACGAAGAAAGUGACGGUACCCCGACGGAGGAAGCCCUCGCUAACUACGUGCCAGCAGCCGCGGUAAACCUCGUCUCUA
This 505-nucleotide ribosomal RNA is filed under the name uncultured bacterium. RNAcentral's name for it is "bacterial SSU rRNA". It matches the Rfam family "Bacterial small subunit ribosomal RNA", at positions 28 to 537 of the family's 1533-position model. The record is from RNAcentral.